GAGGGUCAUGACGGUACCGGGAGAAUAAGCACCGGCUAACUUCGUGCCAGCAGCCGCGGUAAUACGAAGGGUGCAAGCGUUAUUCGGAAUUACUGGGCGUAAAGGGUGCGUAGGCGGUUUUUUAAGUCAGAGGUGAAAUCCCGGGGCUCAACCUGGGAACUGCCUUUGAUACUGGCAGUCUAGAGUGUGGGAGAGGUAAGUGGAAUUCCGAGUGUAGCGGUGAAAUUCGUAGAUAUUGGGAGGAACACCAAUGGCGAAGGC
This 261-nucleotide ribosomal RNA is filed under the name uncultured bacterium. RNAcentral's name for it is "partial 16S ribosomal RNA". It matches the Rfam family "Bacterial small subunit ribosomal RNA", at positions 462 to 722 of the family's 1533-position model. The record is from RNAcentral.